Molecule: ribosomal RNA, 342 nt
Filed under: uncultured bacterium
Lineage: Bacteria
Description: bacterial SSU rRNA
Rfam family: Bacterial small subunit ribosomal RNA
Source: RNAcentral
AACGAACGCUGGCGGCGUGCUUAACACAUGCAAGUCGAGCGGGAAAGUCCCCUUCGGGGGGCGAGUACAGCGGCGAACGGGUGAGUAACACGUAGGUAACCUACCCUGGGGACCGGGGAUAACCUGUCGAAAGGCGGGCUAAUACCGGAUAAGACCACGAGAGCUCGGCUCUUGAGGUAAAAGGUGGCCUCUGCUUGCAAGCUAUCACCCCGAGAUGGGCCUGCGCGCCAUUAGCUAGUUGGUGAGGUAACGGCUUACCAAGGCUGAGAUGGCUAGCUGGUCUGAGAGGAUGACCAGCCACACUGGGACUGAGACACGGCCCAGACUCCUACGGGAGGCAGC